CCAAUGCAGAAUAAGCAAAAGAAGAACACGACGCCGCCUGGAGAUUUGAUUGCCCUCCGACUUCGCUUGUUUCUCGAGAUCAGUAAUCUAUUGCUUCCCGUAUGCAGUUCUUUAAUUCGCUUUAGCCACUGCGGAAUUAUUGCCGACGAGAAAUAAGAGGAGAAGGCUGAGAGAUCGAAGAGUGGGAGUCAAAGCAGUAGGUGUGGGGAGGAGCGGCCGCCCUCCGAUCCUUCGGAGCUGCGAGAAGUUCCGCCAAAAUCUGGGGUUUUGGAGGCAGAAUUGGGUCUGCGCCGCCUCGACUUCCGCCAGGAUCGAUCCUUCGUAGCUCGAUUCGCCCGGGAUCGUGGGUCGUUCGUACUUCCUCGAGACGCUUGCUUCCAGUGUACGGGUAAGGGUUGGAGAAUUUGUCGUUCUCGGUUAGGGAUUGCCCUUGCCCUGUAUUUAUAGGGGGAUUUUGAGCAGAGGGGGGUUCUGGAUUCUUCCUUGUCGUGUGGCCGUGUGGACUUUAGCAGCCUUCUAGGGUUGGAAAGUUGAGAUUUUUCUGGGAUCAUUUUUGGGUCUUUUCUGGUGCUCGGUGCCGGCGGUGGCCAUGAUGGUGAUGGUGUAUGGGGAGUAGCAUAGAUGGGGUUGGAUUCGAAGAUGGUAAGCUAACCGCAGCCGGGAUGCCGAGCUUUGUUUCGUCCACGACGGUGGUUCAGAACAAUAGCAGAGAAGGAAACACGACACAGAGAAUUUCAGACUUUGGCGUGCUCGAGCAGUCUAUCACAUUUCAUAUAGAUCCAGCAGUUAGUGUGAAACAUAGUGGACAAUCUAUAAAUUCUGACCCUUCUCAAUUUGGAGUUCUUGGUAAACCUAUUGCUUCCACUGAAAUUGCACCUUCAGCAGCUAGAGUUGAAUCUUUGACGUCAUUCCAACAUAAGGAAAAGCUACACAGCUUAAUAUCAUUUUCCAGUGGUCAAUUUGAGAAUUGGGGAGAGUCAAUGGCAGAUGCUAGUCCUAGGACAGAUACCUCCACAGACGUGGACACUGAUGACAAAAAUCAGAGGUUAGAACGAGGACAACUUGCUUUUGCAGCAGCAUCUGAUUCUAGUGACAGGUCGAAGGACAAAACACUAGACCAGAAGACCCUUCGACGACUUGCUCAAAAUCGUGAAGCUGCCAGGAAGAGUAGGUUAAGAAAAAAGGCUUACGUGCAACAGCUAGAAAGUAGUAGACUGAAGCUUACUCAACUUGAGCAGGAGCUUCAAAAAGCUCGUCAGCAGGGAAUUUUUAUUUCUAACUCAGGAGAUCAAUCCCAUGCUACAAGUGGAAAUGGGGCCUUGACCUUUGAUGUAGAAUAUGCACGAUGGCUCGAAGAACAUAAUCGGCAGAUCAGUGAACUGAGGGCUGCAGUGAAUGCUCAUGCCAGUGAAAAUGAUCUUCGUGUUAUUGUUGAUGGUGUCAUGGCGCAUUAUGAUGAGAUAUUUAGGCUUAAGGGCAUUGCUGCCAAGGCAGAUGUGUUUCACAUAUUAUCAGGCAUGUGGAAGACACCAGCUGAAAGGUGUUUCUUGUGGCUGGGGGGUUUCCGUUCAUCUGAGCUUCUAAAGGUGCAGAACCUUAUACCUUAUGCUUUUGACUACUUGCAAAUCAGUUGGAGCCGCUAACAGAGCAGCAAAUGAUGGGCAUAUGCAACCUCCAGCAGUCAUCACAGCAGGCUGAGGAUGCUCUCUCUCAAGGGAUGGACGCAUUACAGCAAUCAUUGUCAGAAACUUUGGCCGGGUCUCUUGGUCCUUCGGGAACUUCAGGGAAUGUUGCAAAUUACAUGGGUCAGAUGGCUAUGGCAAUGGGGAAACUUGGAACUCUUGAGAAUUUCCUUCACCAGGCAGACAACCUGCGACAGCAAACCCUGCAACAAAUGCACCGGAUAUUAACUACUCGUCAGUCUGCACGGGCACUUCUUGCCAUCAGUGAUUACUUCUCACGUCUUCGUGCCCUGAGCUCUCUGUGGCUUGCUCGGCCCCAGGAGUAAGAAACCCAUUUUAUGUGUUGUUGUUCUAUCCAAGCACAGUGCUUCCUGCUUAAGGGCUUAUUUGCCGAAGUAUUUAUCUUGUGGUUGGUUGUUGGCUCCUCUACUACUGAUGGCUGGAUGAUCGUGCAUUAGUCUCAAGAUUCUCAGGGGAGCUAACCCAGAUCUCGUAGAGCAUGAGUGGUCACCAUCACCAUGCAAUGUACCAUUGCCUGUGUAAGAAAAACUCGUCUGUCAUCUUUGUUUUCAUUGUCUACUUUUGUAAGUCUCAGGUGAAAAUAAAAAUACAAUUGUCACAAUAAUCUAUCAGAUUCGUUGCUAAUGUUUCAUCUGUUUCUUAAUUCAAUCACCGACAAGGAUCAGACCUUGUUUAUUGUAUCCA
This is an RNA transcript of Musa acuminata subsp. malaccensis (wild Malaysian banana), 2387 nucleotides long. It is a transcript of the gene named transcription factor TGA2.2, with no coding region annotated. The record is from RefSeq and is a predicted model, not a curated record. Lineage: Eukaryota; Viridiplantae; Streptophyta; Magnoliopsida; Zingiberales; Musaceae.